GGUAAGUCCGUGCAAGUAGCCGCGGUAAACGUUAAGGGGGGUGCGUUGUCCGGAAGCAUGGGGCGUAAAGAGCGUGUAGGCGGGUCAAUAAGUUUGCUGUGAAAGUCCAGGGGUCAACCCUUGGAUGCCGGUGGAUACUGUUGAACUCGAGUCCGGAAGAGGCAAGUUGAAUUCCUGGUGUAGCGGUGAAAUGCGCAGAUAUCAGGAGGAACACCAAUGGCGAAGGCAGCUUGCUGGGACGUGACUGACGCUGAGACGCGAAAGCGUGGGGAGCAAACAGGAUUAGAUACCCGAGUAGUC
RNAcentral lists this ribosomal RNA (300 nucleotides) under uncultured Bacillus sp. RNAcentral's name for it is "bacterial SSU rRNA". It matches the Rfam family "Bacterial small subunit ribosomal RNA", at positions 496 to 795 of the family's 1533-position model. The record is from RNAcentral. Lineage: Bacteria; Bacillati; Bacillota; Bacilli; Caryophanales; Bacillaceae.